Non-coding RNA from Callorhinus ursinus (northern fur seal), 241 nucleotides. The record is from RefSeq and is a predicted model, not a curated record. NCBI's taxonomy places the organism in Eukaryota, Metazoa, Chordata, Mammalia, Carnivora, Otariidae.
GCCUCAUCCCCAGGCCUGGAGGUAGCUGUGCCUCUCCCCUGUGGCUGGGGCAUCCAGUGACUGGGAUGAAGACGCGAUGGCUGGAGCUGGCACGGCUGCGUGGAACCAUGAGGUGCAUCAGGAAUAGAGGCCAUGACGACAGGGGCAGAAUGAAUGGAGCCUGGGUCCUUGACCACCUAUCAGCCCCGGAUCACCCACUUGGACUAUUACAUGAAAGUAAACCCCAACCCCAGCUCGCUCA